This 497-nucleotide ribosomal RNA is filed under the name uncultured bacterium. RNAcentral describes it as "partial 16S ribosomal RNA". It matches the Rfam family "Bacterial small subunit ribosomal RNA", at positions 28 to 507 of the family's 1533-position model. The record is from RNAcentral.
GAUGAACGCUGGCGGCGUGCCUAAUACAUGCAAGUCGAGCGAACAGACGAGGAGCUUGCUCCUCUGACGUUAGCGGCGGACGGGUGAGUAACACGUGGAUAACCUACCUAUAAGACUGGGAUAACUUCGGGAAACCGGAGCUAAUACCGGAUAAUAUAUUGAACCGCAUGGUUCAAUAGUGAAAGACGGUUUUGCUGUCACUUAUAGAUGGAUCCGCGCCGCAUUAGCUAGUUGGUAAGGUAACGGCUUACCAAGGCAACGAUGCGUAGCCGACCUGAGAGGGUGAUCGGCCACACUGGAACUGAGACACGGUCCAGACUCCUACGGGAGGCAGCAGUGGGGAAUCUUGCGCAAUGGGCGAAAGCCUGACGGAGCAACGCCGCGUGAGUGAUGAAGGUCUUCGGAUCGUAAAGCUCUGUUGUUAGGGAAGAACAAAUGUGUAAGUAACUAUGCACGUUUUGACGGUACCUAAUCAGAAAGCCACGGCUAACUACGUG